Molecule: unclassified non-coding RNA, 348 nt
Filed under: soil metagenome
Description: partial contains 5.8S ribosomal RNA, internal transcribed spacer 2, and large subunit ribosomal RNA
Rfam family: 5.8S ribosomal RNA (bases 1-120)
Source: RNAcentral
GAUGAAGAACGCAGCGAAAUGCGAUAAGUAAUGUGAAUUGCAGAAUUCCGUGAAUCAUCGAAUCUUUGAACGCAUAUUGCGCCCUCUGGCAUUCCGGGGGGCAUGCCUGUCUGAGCGUCAUUUCAACCCUCAUGCCCCUAGGGCGUGGUGUUGGGGAUCGGCCAAAGCCCGCGAGGGACGGCCGGCCCCUAAAUCUAGUGGCGGACCCGUCGUGGCCUCCUCUGCGAAGUAGUGAUAUUCCGCAUCGGAGAGCGAUGAGCCCCUGCCGUUAAACCCCCAACUUUCCAAGGUUGACCUCAGAUCAGGUAGGAAUACCCGCUGAACUUAAGCAUAUCAAUAAGCGGAGGA